RNAcentral lists this ribosomal RNA (1268 nucleotides) under uncultured bacterium. RNAcentral describes it as "partial 16S ribosomal RNA". It matches the Rfam family "Bacterial small subunit ribosomal RNA", at positions 107 to 1381 of the family's 1533-position model. The record is from RNAcentral.
UGACUAACACCUGAUUAACCUGCCCUUGACUUUCUGACUCCCUCAAGAGACUGGCCCUAAUACCCCAUAAUAACUCCUGCUGCAUGCUGCGGAUUGCAUCGUCUCGGCGGUUAAGUAUGGACUCUCAGAUUAUCCCCCUGGUCGGAGUAUAUAGUCUUACCGGUGCUUUGACUGCUAGACGACCAUAAAUGGCCACCCUGCACGUUGGAACUGACAUACUGCCCCUAAUCCUACGGCAGGCCUCCUAGGGGAAUAUUGCACGAUGAAUCUAGCCCUGAGGCAGAAACCCCGAUGGCGCGACGACGCCCUUCCGAUUAUAGACCUCUAUCCCCUGUGAUCAGUCCUAAGUGACGAUAAUGACUAUACAAUCACCGGAUACCUCCGUGACCUCCGCCCCAGCGAUCCCUAUAGUGCGAGCGUUGCCAGCAUUUACUGGACUUACUGGGCUCAUAGGUGUCUCAUCCCGUCUGACGUGUCCGAUGUAAAGGGCGAAAGCUCUACCCUUUCGUAAGCAUCGGAAACUGUCAAGCUUGAGUGAAGGAGAGGCAAGUGGAAUUCCUAGUGUAGCGGUGGAAUGCGUAGAUAUUAGGAGGAAUACCGGUGGCGAAGGCGACUUGCUGGACUUCAACUGACGCUGAGGAACGAAAGCGUGGGUAGCAAACAGGAUUAGAUACCCUGGUAGUCCACGCCGUAAACGAUGAGUGCUAGGUGUCGGGGGUCAAACCUCGGUGCCGUCGUUAACACACUAAGCACUCCGCCUGGGGAGUACGUGCGCAAGCAUGAAACUCAAAGGAAUUGACGGGGACCCGCACAAGCAGCGGAGCAUGUGGUUUAAUUCGAAGCAACGCGAAGAACCUUACCAGGACUUGAAAUACUAGUGCCCACUUUAGAGAUAAAGUUUUUUCUUCGGAAACGCUAAUACAGGUGGUGCAUGGUUGUCGUCAGCUCGUGUCGUGAGAUGUUGGGUUAAGUCCCGCAACGAGCGCAACCCUUACUUCUAGUUGCCAGCACGUAAUGGUGGGAACUCUAGAGGGACUGCCGAUGAUAAAUCGGAGGAAGGUGGGGAUGACGUCAAAUCAUCAUGCCCUUUAUGUCCUGGGCUACACACGUGCUACAAUGGUCGGUACAGAGGGCAGCGAAAGAGCGAUCUCAAGCGAAUCUCAAAAAACCGAUCCCAGUUCGGAUUGCAGGCUGCAACUCGCCUGCAUGAAGUCGGAGUUGCUAGUAAUCGCAGAUCAGAAUGCUGCGGUGAAUGCGUUCCCGGGUCU